RNAcentral lists this small RNA (123 nucleotides) under Escherichia coli. RNAcentral describes it as "partial RtT sRNA". It matches the Rfam family "RtT RNA". From Rfam's summary of the family: This family represents a bacterial cis-regulatory element known as RtT RNA. The exact function of RtT is unknown although it is thought that it may be involved in changing the cellular response in relation to amino acid starvation. Lineage: Bacteria; Pseudomonadati; Pseudomonadota; Gammaproteobacteria; Enterobacterales; Enterobacteriaceae. The record is from RNAcentral.
AUUCUGCCCAUGCGGGGAAGGAUGAGAAGCUUCGACCAAGGUUCGACUCGAGCGCCAGCGAGAGAGCGUUGCCGCAGGCAACGACCCGAAGGGCGAAGCGCGCAGCGCUGAGUAAUCCUUCCC